RNAcentral lists this ribosomal RNA (406 nucleotides) under uncultured Methanosaeta sp. RNAcentral's name for it is "bacterial SSU rRNA". It matches the Rfam family "Archaeal small subunit ribosomal RNA", at positions 935 to 1338 of the family's 1478-position model. Lineage: Archaea; Methanobacteriati; Methanobacteriota; Methanomicrobia; Methanotrichales; Methanotrichaceae. The record is from RNAcentral.
ACCGACAGCAAUAUGAAGGCCUAGGCUGAAGACUUUGCCGGAUUAGCUGAGAGGUGGUGCAUUGGCCGUCGUCAGUUCGUACUGUGAAGCAUCCUGUUAAGUCAGGCAACGAGCGAGACCCACGCCCACAGUUGCCAGCGUACUCUCCGGAGUGACGGGUACACUGUGGGGACCGCCGCUGCUAAAGCGGAGGAAGGAAUGGGCAACGGUAGGUCAGUAUGCCCCGAAUAUCCCGGGCUACACGCGAGCUACAAUGGUUGGUACAAUGGGUAUCUACCCCGAAAGGGGAUGGAAAUCUCCUAAAGCCAAUCUUAGUCCGGAUUGAGGGCUGCAACUCGCCCUCAUGAAGCUGGAAUCCGUAGUAAUCGCGUUUCAACAGAACGCGGUGAAUACGUCCCUGCUCCUU